CACCGCAAAAACUAGUCCGACAGGCGCUCACACGACGCCAUAUUGAGUUUAAUGCGGUUGAAAACGAGUGUUUAUGGGAUAGACUUGUCUUUUCAAUCGCAAGCACUUUAUAAAGGUCCUAGAUCACGUAAUUUUCACAACUCACAACUUUAAAAACUGCUUUAUGGAGUUUUGUCUGGUGAAAGGUUUUUUUUUUCUUUUCUUUUUUAUCGGAAAGACGUCGGCUCAUCGGCUGAACAAUCGGGAUGUUUUAAUAACAGGCUGGAUGAGAGCCCCGUUGCCUGGCAACCGGCUGCUGUCAACAUGCAGGCUGUGUUACCGUGGGAACAGGACGACUGGUGGGAAGAGUGGGACACAAAGCUGACUUCCACCAAACAGUGAUCAGCUGACAUCUGGGGUCAACAUCAUGGCUCUUUUAGAGAUCCGACAGGUUAGAAACUUCUUCUGCACUUGAACACAAACACUCAAAGACGCCUAUUCAGAAAGCACACUUUUUUUUAUAACGUCUCUGCUGUGCUAAUGGCUUGUGUGUGUUUUGGAUUAUGCAUGUGUGUGUCUAUGUGCAUGUGCAUGCAGGCCUCUUACCUUCCCUAUUUCAUACCCACAUGCUUCCAUUGUCUGGGUCGUGGUUGGCCGGUGCUCCACUGGAGUGGUUUUAAGUGCUGUUGUGAGCGGAAUGUGAGAGAGCCAAUACGCUGCUUCAAACACUUCUGAGCACCCCAUUUAUGGCCAGUUCUCUCUGCAAAUGCCGGCUCUUCACAUUUUUCAUUUGCAAAUUGGAUAACUUGAGGUUUGAUGAACAAACUGUUCCUGUUUAAAGACUUUUGGGCUUUACUGCUGUUAGGAAUAAACCAACUUCUCAUGACUGCAGGGCUAAAGCAAUUUUCAAUCACAUUAGGGCGCGUUGUUAUUUUCUUCAUUGACUAAUGUGUAUUACUUAGAUGUUUUUCUUUUUACUCCUGAGGGAGUAUAUUAUUUUAAUCUCAACUCAACAAACUCCUGUGAAUGCAUUUACUUGGCACAGGCAUUGAUAUUAAAGCCAAUAAUUUCGACUUUUAGGUCAGCCCCCCAAAAAAUGAAAUUCUGUCAUUAUUUACUCACCCUCAUGUCUUUCCAAACGCAAAUGACCUUUCUUUCUCCUGCGGUACACAAAAGAAAGUGUUUUUCAUGCU
Ctenopharyngodon idella (grass carp) is the source of this 1172-nucleotide long non-coding RNA. RefSeq lists it as uncharacterized. The record is from RefSeq and is a predicted model, not a curated record. Lineage: Eukaryota; Metazoa; Chordata; Actinopteri; Cypriniformes; Xenocyprididae. The transcript is spliced from 3 exons.